This 200-nucleotide long non-coding RNA is filed under the name Brassica napus (rape). Its description in RNAcentral is "long non-coding RNA (BNAP_LNC018205)". Lineage: Eukaryota; Viridiplantae; Streptophyta; Magnoliopsida; Brassicales; Brassicaceae. The record is from RNAcentral.
UAGAGUUAAAGGGUGGGGUUUAGGAUUUAGGGUUUAGAGUUUAGAGUUUAGGGUUUAGAUUUUAGGGUUUAGGGUUUAGGGUUUAGGGUUUAGAGUUUAGGGUUUAGGGUUUAGGGUUUAGAGUUGAGAAAUGAGGUUUUGGGGAUAAGAUUUGAAAUUUUGAAAAAUAAAAAAAUUAAAAUUUUCAAAGGAUAAACUUA